AACGAACGCUGGCGGCGUGCCUAACACAUGCAAGUCGUGCGAGAAAAGGGGGGCAACUCCCUGAGUACAGCGGCGCACGGGUGAGUAACACGUAGGUAACCUACCCUCGAGCCCGGGAUAACCUACCGAAAGGUGGGCUAAUACCGGAUGUGACCACGGGAGUUUCGGCUCCUGAGGUAAAAGAUGGCCUCUGCUUGCAAGCUAUCACUCGCGGAGGGGCCUGCGCGCCAUUAGCUAGUUGGCGGGGUAAUGGCCCACCAAGGCUCUGAUGGCUAGCUGGUCUGAGAGGAUGGCCAGCCACACUGGGACUGAAACACGGCCCAGACUCCUACGGGAGGCAGCAGUGGGGGAUAUUGCGCAAUGGGCGAAAGCCUGACGCAGCGACGCCGCGUGGGUGAUGAAGGCCUUCGGGUCGUAAAGCCCUGUCGAGGGGGACGAACCGGCCGCGACCGAAUACGUCGCGACCCUGACGGUACCCCUAAAGGAAGCACCGGCUAACUCCGUGCCAGCCGCCGCAGUAA
Molecule: ribosomal RNA, 521 nt
Filed under: uncultured bacterium
Lineage: Bacteria
Description: partial 16S ribosomal RNA
Rfam family: Bacterial small subunit ribosomal RNA
Source: RNAcentral